Molecule: ribosomal RNA, 301 nt
Filed under: uncultured bacterium
Lineage: Bacteria
Description: partial 16S ribosomal RNA
Rfam family: Bacterial small subunit ribosomal RNA
Source: RNAcentral
CAGCAGCCGCGGUAACACGUAGGGUGCAAGCGUUAAUCGGAAUUACUGGGCGUAAAGCGUGCGCAGGCGGUUUGUUAAGACAGAUGUGAAAUCCCCGGGCUCAACCUGGGAACUGCAUUUGUGACUGGCAAGCUAGAGUGUGGCAGAGGGGGGUGGAAUUCCGCGUGUAGCAGUGAAAUGCGUAGAUAUGCGGAGGAACACCGACGGCGAAGGCAGCCCCCUGGGCCAACACUGACGCUCAUGCACGAAAGCGUGGGGAGCGAACAGGAUUAGAUACCCCAGUAGUCCCUGUCUCUUAUAC